RNAcentral lists this ribosomal RNA (440 nucleotides) under uncultured bacterium. RNAcentral's name for it is "partial 16S ribosomal RNA". It matches the Rfam family "Bacterial small subunit ribosomal RNA", at positions 338 to 795 of the family's 1533-position model. The record is from RNAcentral.
CCUACGGGUGGCAGCAGUGGGGGAUAUUGCACAAUGGGGGAAACCCUGAUGCAGCGACGCCGCGUGUGGGAAGACGGUCCUCUGGAUUGUAAACCACUGUCCCCAGGGACGAAGAUGACGGUACCUGGGGAGGAAGCUCCGGCUAACUACGUGCCAGCAGCCGCGGUAAUACGUAGGGAGCGAGCGUUGUCCGGAAGUACUGGGUGAAAAGGGAGCGUAGGCGGGACUGCAAGUUGGGUGUCAAAUCUACCGGCUCAACCGGUAGCCGCACUCAAAACUGCAGUUCUUGAGUGAAGUAGAGGCAGGCGGAAUUCCUAGUGUAGCGGUGAAAUGCGUAGAUAUUAGGAGGAACACCAGUGGCGAAGGCGGCCUGUUGGGCUUUUACUGACGCUGAGGCUCGAAAGUGUGGGGAGCAAACAGGAUUAGAUACCCGAGUAGUC